This is a long non-coding RNA of Chiloscyllium plagiosum (whitespotted bambooshark), 325 nucleotides long. RefSeq lists it as uncharacterized. NCBI's taxonomy places the organism in Eukaryota, Metazoa, Chordata, Chondrichthyes, Orectolobiformes, Hemiscylliidae. The record is from RefSeq and is a predicted model, not a curated record.
AGGUUUACAUUAAGCAGGAAAGUUUACCCCAAGUUGAACACCCUCAUGGAUACCAGCUCUUCCUGUUCUUUGUGGGAACACGCUGCUCCAUACGAAUGACUCCAACCUCCCAGUUGCUUGCCACUUCAAUAAACUAUCUUGCUCUCAUGCUAACAUGGGCCUGCUUUACAGUGUUCUAACAAAGCACAAUGCAAACUUGAAGAAGACUUCAUUUUCCACUGAGGCACUUUACCAGCUCAAGAUGCUGCCAGACAUUCUGAGUUUCUCCAGCGAUUUCUGUGUUUUCGAAUUUCUUCCUUUUGAGUCACUGAGUAUGUAUGCAGGU